This 434-nucleotide long non-coding RNA is filed under the name Durio zibethinus. Its description in RNAcentral is "long non-coding RNA (DZIB_LNC001120)". The record is from RNAcentral. Lineage: Eukaryota; Viridiplantae; Streptophyta; Magnoliopsida; Malvales; Malvaceae.
UCAAAUUAAAAACACAAAAAGACGAUUUGGAUAGAAAAACAUUUGAGCUGAAAGUUUGACGGACAACUCUAGUAUAUGGAGGAUCAAGAUAUUUAAAGAUCCUUCAAAGUUGGAGUAAAGUUUGAUGAGCUCAAAAUGAUUUCAAAAGUCAAUCGAAUGAGUUUUUGAAAAAGAAUCCUGAACUAAUGUUUAGAAUUGUCUAAAUAUUCAUUGUUUAGAUAUACCAUUCAUCCCAAGAACAUGCUUCCAACUUGUUUCUUUCCCCAUUAUUUUUGUACCAGACUUACUCUUCAUUGAUUACUUUUCCCUUAAUUCACCUUGUGCUAUUUUAUUGUUGCAUCCUCAAAAUAAAUUGAGGAAAUGUAUGAUUGCAUUGUAUUUCUCACAAUGUGAAAUGAUAAUGAAUAAAUGAAUAUAUGCUUAAAAGAUUUUUG